Molecule: non-coding RNA, 82 nt
Organism: Hyaena hyaena (striped hyena)
Lineage: Eukaryota; Metazoa; Chordata; Mammalia; Carnivora; Hyaenidae
Source: the annotation of a RefSeq genome assembly
GCCUGGGUGGCUCAGUUGGUUGAGCAUCUGACUCUGGCUCAGGUGAUGAUCUCACUCACGGGUUCAAGCCCCGCAUCAGGCU